Molecule: long non-coding RNA, 1063 nt
Organism: Sycon ciliatum
Lineage: Eukaryota; Metazoa; Porifera; Calcarea; Leucosolenida; Sycettidae
Exons: 5
Source: RefSeq, a predicted model, not a curated record
UAGAGAAUCAGUGCACUUUAUCAGCUUGUGCAGCUGGAUAUCAAUGUGAAGCAAGAAGAGAUCUCGGUGGCAAGAUUCAUGAAGAAUGCAAUGAUAUUGAUGAAUGCCAACAGAAUAGACACACAUGUCAGUCAGGAUAUCAGUGCUCUAAUACUGUGGGAAGUUACGCUUGUCAUAAUCUUUGCAAAGAAUGGCCGUGCGAAGAUGGUGAAACAUGCGAAAUACGAACAGCUCACAAUAAGCCAGUUGAGGUGUGCAAUGAUAUAAAUGAAUGCGAGCUGGGAUCACACAAUUGCACGGCAGGACUCCAAUGCCGCAACCGACGCGCUCCAGAAAAAUUUAAUUGUGUGAAAGUUGAAUCCCACGUAGAGGAUGAUAAUGGUGAGUAUGACCACGAUGAUGAUGAUGAAAAUGAUAAUGGAGAUCCUGACGACCUUAGCAUGAAAUGCAUGGUGUGAUUUUCGUUUUCUUUUGUUCGUCGGAGUGCUGAAAAACAACUUCCUUCCAACGCUGUUGUUGAGCUUCGCUUUGCCAGGACUUUGUCGCUAUUGAUGACUUUAGGGUUACGGCGAUUUCUGCCUUUGCGGCUUUCAUGUGUCAGCGCUUUUGCUUAUGACGAUGGUUUUAUGAUUUUUUUAUGACUCAAUCUGCGGACAGCAUGAUUUUUUUAUGAUAAUAAUAAUAAUAAUAAUAAUAAUAAUAAUAAUAAUAAUAAUAUAUUAUGAUGAUGGCGAUGAUGAUACUAAUAAUGAUUUGCUGUGUUUGCUUCGUUGGUGUAUGCGUGGUUCGCAACAGCAAUGGGACCACAGUUUGCUAACAAGCUGUCGCACCCCUAGAGUACGUUCGUUACUAUGGUUACUGGUACAGUAUUGUAUACAUGUAGGUGUCUUGAAGUUGUUGUUCUUAACGUUGGUUCUUUUUGUUUUAUAUUUUUGUUUGUUUGGGCUUUCUUUUUGGCUCGUGUCUAUUUAGGUUUCUUUCUUCAUCCCGAGUUCAACUUUGUGCUCUCUACUUCUCUCUAUUGAAUAUCGAUGCUUGUGUGGUUGCUUGCCCGUACAAGAGG